RNAcentral lists this long non-coding RNA (2046 nucleotides) under Citrus x clementina. RNAcentral's name for it is "Citrus clementina (C. clementina) long non-coding RNA (CCLE_LNC000281)". The record is from RNAcentral. Lineage: Eukaryota; Viridiplantae; Streptophyta; Magnoliopsida; Sapindales; Rutaceae.
UAUUAGUACAUUAAAAUCUAUAUUUUUUUGGUUUGUAAGUGACAUACUCACUUUUUUAAAAAAUAAGAUGCCCUCAUUAUUAUUAUUAUUCUUGUCUGUGAUUGACAUACUCACUUUUUUUAAAUUAGGAUGCCCUCAUUUUUAUUAUUAUUCUUAUUAUUGGACAUUAGGCUAUUUUAAUUAUUUUUCUUAAAAUGUUAACAUAAACUUUGAACUAUUGAUUUUAUGCAUUUCAAUAUUAAAGAUUUAAAAUCAAAAUAGCAUUUAAUGAUAUCAAAUUUAUACAACUCUAUCACAAGAUUACAUGAGAUGAAUGGUUUAAAAUUUACGUUAAAACUUUUAAUAAAAUAAUUGUUAUGCAUAUAAUGGCAAAAUCGGACAAAAUAGUGUUUAUGGUACCGCAGUCAUGACGUGAUAGAGAGAAAAAUAAGGGCAAAAUCGGAUUCAAAUGGUCAAUUUUUGGAUUUUUCUUAUUUGAAAUCCCAUAAACGGCUGAUUGCCAAGCUUAACAUCGUCUUAAUUGUUGUGCUUUUGACUAUUUUUAGGAGUAGGUUCCUGGGUUCUUGUGCUUAAUAUGCGUUGAUGGGACUUUUUAUUUUGUUAUUUAUACGCAAUGAGUCUUUACUGGCAGAUGAAUGUUAGGUUAUAUCUUUGUAUUAGAACUAGUAGCAGAUCACUGUGAGCCAAGUCAAAAUCUGAUGAUACAGAAACCAGAAAGAGAAAUUGCAUGUAGCUUUAUGAUGUGUGUUGGCCACGAAGCACCUUUUGAGCACUAAAGAAGGAUCACUAUCAUAAAAGAAGUCGUUCUCAUCAAAGAUUAUGUUUAUUGCUAUAUAUACAUACUCAUCAUGAACAGUCCAAGCAUCUAUAGCCCUUCUGUACUAGAUUGAGUUAAAUGAAUGAUAUGUAAUGAUAUAAACUUUAACAAUGGUGAUAGUUGUUUUAUAGAUCAAGUUGUAUAUAAACCGUAUUUAUUAUUUUUCCAGUGUUUAAGGAGAUAGUCAAAACUAAAUAUUGCCACUGAAUUUGUAGACAUGCAUUGGGGAUGACAAUUGAAUAGUAUUGAUAUGAGUACUAAGUCGAAAGUCACUCUUUAAAAAAAAAAUAUGUUCAUUGCUGCAAAAUCUAGCAAUUUGAAAAUUUUGACUAAUCUUGUUAAAAUAUGUUGCCAAAACUAUAUAAAUGCAAAUAUAUAAUUUUCAUCUUACACAACUAUAAUCAGAGUCGUACUAUUGUGUCAUUCAGCCUUUAGCCAAGUGGUUGGGUUGCUGCCCUCACAACUCAAACCCUCACAAAAGUAUUAUGGGGCUCAAGUCCUUCCUCAAUUAUAACUUAUAAUUGAGUGAAGGUCAGUCUUCUCCCUUUAUUAAUGUGAGUAGAGUAAACAUUUCUCAACUAUUAGAGAAGGUAAAAUCUAAGCAAUGUUUCAUAUAAAUAUAUGUAAAUUAAUCCUAGUAAUAAUCUCAUGUAAAUAUAAGUGAUAAUCUGAUGUCAUAGUCAGUUUAAAAAAAAAAAACGAGUCGUACUACAGUAGUUGAAAGAUACAUCAUAAAAACACUUGUCAACAAAAAGCAUUUAUUUUUCAAUUUCUUCAAUUUGCUAACCUGCAACCAUAACUGAAUCUAAAGAGAGUGAUGAUACUAUACUAACACCACUCAAAAGUAUUAAUUACCCUCAAGUAUAAGAGUUUCUACUUAUAAUGUAAUUCGUAAUUCAGUGAGUCCGAGAUUUAUAUAAAGGGAAAAGAUUUAAUUUGUUAAUUAACUUUAAACUAUCCAAGAGCUAAAAAUAUAAUUUAAAUACACAAUAUUCAAUUUAAGUGAAAUUAUGGAAAUAAAUUAGUUAGGACUAUGGAUAUAAUUUAAUAAAUUCUUUUCUUUUUAUUUUGUUUAUUGCCCAAAAUAUCAAUUGUACAAAUUAUCAUUAUUAUCCCAUUAAUUUUAUUAUAAAUUAAGUACUUAAUGUGUCAAAAUUAAAUUUGUCGAUAAAAAGUCAAAAUACUAUUUUGUCAUAUUUUAUACUAAGAUAUUCAAAAUCUAUUGUACC